RNAcentral lists this ribosomal RNA (2210 nucleotides) under gut metagenome. Its description in RNAcentral is "bacterial LSU rRNA". It matches the Rfam family "Bacterial large subunit ribosomal RNA", at positions 1 to 2156 of the family's 2925-position model. The record is from RNAcentral.
AGAAGAUACUAAGGGCGCACGGCGGAUGCCUUGGCACAGGAAGUCGAAGAAGGACGCGGCAAGCUGCGAUAAGCUCCGGGGAGGCGCAAACGGCCUUCGAUCCGGAGAUCUCCGAAUGGGGGAACCCAGCAGGGGUCAUGCCCUGCUACCCGCGCCUGAAUGAAAUAGGGCGCGAGGAGGCAACCCGGGGAACUGAAACAUCUAAGUACCCGGAGGAAGAGAAAUCAACCGAGAUUGCGGGAGUAGCGGCGAGCGAAACCGCACCAGCCCAAACCCAUGCACGUGCAAGCUUGAGGGCGUUGCUGCAUGAGGGGUUGUGGGACCGCGCAUUCCAUGGGCCUCAGACCAUGGACGCAGUUACAAAUCCGCGCGGAAGCGGAACGGCCUGGGAAGGCCGGCGGAACAGGGUGAGAGCCCCGUACGCGAAUCCGCGCGGACUGCGAGUGCGGCACCCGAGUAGCGCCGGGCACGUGAAACCCGGUGCGAACCUGGGGGGACCACCCUCCAAGGCUGAACACUCUCCUGUGACCGAUAGCGAACCAGUACCGUGAGGGAAAGGUGAAAAGCACCCCGAGAGGGGAGUGAAACAGUACCUGAAACCGUGCGCCUACAAGCAGUCGGAGCCCCCGAGCGGGGUGACGGCGUGCCUUUUGUAGAAUGAGCCAGCGAGUUGCGGUAUGCGGCGAGGUUAAGGUUUGAACCGAGCCGCAGUGAAAGCGAGCCUUUAAGAUGGCGAUAGAGUCGCAUGCUGCAGACGCGAAGCCGGGUGAGCUAUCCAUGGGCAGGCUGAAGCGGGGGUAAGACCCCGUGGAGGGCCGAACCCACUUCGGUUGAAAACGGAGGGGAUGACCCGUGGAUAGGGGUGAAAGGCCAAUCAAACCCGGAGAUAUCUCGUUCUCCCCGAAAUAGCUUUAGGGCUAGCCUCGGCCGUUCUCCGACGGCGGUAGAGCACUGGAUCGUCGAGGGGGCUUCACCGCCUACCGACACGAACCAAACUCCGAAUGCCGCCGGAUCAGAGGCCGGGAGUCAGAACAUGUGGGCUAAGCUGUGUGUUCGAGAGGGAAACAGCCCAGACCGCCCGCUAAGGUCCCCAAGUUUAUGCUGAGUGGCAAAGGAUGUGCGUUUGCCUAGACAACCAGGAUGUUGGCUUAGAAGCAGCCAUGCAUUUAAAGAGUGCGUAACAGCUCACUGGUCAAGUGGACAUGCGCCGACAAUUCACGGGGCUAAGCAUAACACCGAAGCGGCGGACUAAUCUAUAUUAGUGGUAGGGGAGCUUUCCCCGCAGCGGAGAAGCCGAGAGGGCGACCCUCGGUGGAGCGCGGGGAAGUGAGAAUGCUGGCAUGAGUAACGAGAGCGGCGCGAGAAACGCCGCCGCCGUAAGCCUAAGGGUUCCUGGGCAAGGCUAAUCCUCCCAGGGUCAGUCGGGAGCUAAGGCGAGGCCGAGAGGCGUAGCCGAUGCGCAACAGGCGGACAUUCCUGUACCGCCUGCGGACCGCUAUCACCGACGGGGUGACGGAGAAGGGUAGCCGAGCGGGGUUCUGGACGUCCCCGUGAAAGCGCGUAGGGAGCAUCGCAUGGAAAUCAGCGGUGCAUGUAUCCUGAGACGCGAGACGAAAGCUUAUGCUGAAGUCGGCGAGCCCAUGCUUCCGAGAAAAACCUCUAGGAAGGGACGCAGGCGCCCGUACCAAAACCGACACAGGUGGGCAGGUAGAGCAUACCGAGGCGAUCGGGAGAACCAUGGUUAAGGAACUCGGCAUACUGACUCCGUAACUUCGGGAGAAGGAGUGCCCCUGGCGGUGACGGGACUAGCUCCCCGAGCGGCCGGGGGUCGCAGCGAAACGGCCCAAGCGACUGUUUAUCAAAAACACAGGACUCUGCAAAGCCGUAAGGCGACGUAUAGGGUCUGACGCCUGCCCGGUGCUGGAAGGUUACGCGGAUGGGUCAGCCGAAAGGCGAAGCUCUGAAGCCAAGCCCCAGUAAACGGCGGCCGUAACUAUAACGGUCCUAAGGUAGCGAAAUUCCUUGUCGGGUAAGUUCCGACCUGCACGAAUGGCGUAACGAUUUGGGCGCUGUCUCAACCAUGGACCCGGUGAAAUUGUAUUAUUCGUGAAGAUGCGAAUUACCUGCGGAAGGACGGAAAGACCCCGUGAACCUUUACUGCAGCUUGACAUUGAUCGUUGGCUCGGCGCGUAGAGGAUAGGCAGGAGGCU